This 447-nucleotide ribosomal RNA is filed under the name uncultured bacterium. RNAcentral describes it as "bacterial SSU rRNA". It matches the Rfam family "Bacterial small subunit ribosomal RNA", at positions 355 to 825 of the family's 1533-position model. The record is from RNAcentral.
UGGGGAAUCUUGGACAAUGGGCGAAAGCCUGAUCCAGCCAUGCCGCGUGAGUGACGAAGGCCUUAGGGUUGUAAAACUCUUUCGUCGGGGACGAUAAUGACGGUACCCGAAGAAGAAGCUCCGGCUAACUUCGUGCCAGCAGCCGCGGUAAUACGAAGGGAGCUAGCGUUGUUCGGAAUCACUGGGCGUAAAGCGCACGUAGGCGGAUAGUUAAGUCAGGGGUGAAAUCCUGGGGCUCAACCCCAGAACUGCCUUUGAUACUGGCUGUCUCGAGGUCGAGAGAGGUUGGUGGAAUUCCUAGUGUAGAGGUGAAAUUCGUAGAUAUUAGGAAGAACACCAGUGGCGAAGGCGGCCAACUGGCUCGAUACUGACGCUGAGGUGCGAAAGCGUGGGGAGCAAACAGGAUUAGAUACCCCCGUAGUCCCUGAGCGGGCUGGCAAGGCGCAU